Molecule: non-coding RNA, 614 nt
Filed under: Schistocephalus solidus
Lineage: Eukaryota; Metazoa; Platyhelminthes; Cestoda; Diphyllobothriidea; Diphyllobothriidae
Description: Eukaryotic large subunit ribosomal RNA
Rfam family: Eukaryotic large subunit ribosomal RNA
Source: Rfam by way of RNAcentral
CGGUGCUCAAAACAAAUAGGAUUGUUUGAGAAUUGCGCAAAUUCCAUAAGAAAGAUGGUGAACUAUGAUUGUGUAGUUUGAAGCCAGAUAAAACUCUGGUGGAGAACCGCAGCGAUUCUGACAAGCAAAUCGAUCGUCAAACGUGAGUAUAGGAGCGAAAGAAUAAUCAAACCAUCUAGUGGCUGGUUCCCGCCGAAGUGUCCUUCAGAAUAGCUGACACUCAUUCGCAUGAUCAGUUUAAUCCGGUAAAGCGAAUGACUAGAGGUACUGGGUUCAAAACGAGCUCAACAUAUUCUCAAACUUUAAAUGGUUGAGAUGCCUGGCUCGCUUUAUAGGAGUCGGGGGCUGAAUGUGAAAGUGCCAGGUGGGCCACUUUUGGUAAGCAGAACUGGCACUGUGGGAUGAAUCAACCGCAGGCUUCUUUCGAAUUGCUCUCAUAUUUGACUAAGUCGCACAACUAUGUAAAUGUAAAGGCCUGAGGAGAAUUAAUAGAAAGCAGAUGCAUGCUUGGUAAAUUGCCUUUUGAAUUAAAAAUACGAUUACUAUGAUCAUGGUGGCCUACCCCUCAAGCCCUGGGUUAACUUUUAGAACAGGCUAAGGUGAAAUAAAGUCUA